AAAUAAGUUAACGACGAACAUUAAAAUAAUUAUUUAUUUUAGUAACAAAAAGGUGUUUUGCUUAGGUCUCGGAAGAGGGUCGAUUGUUAGCGAGAGUCGGGUGUCCGCGUGGUUCGCAUGCUGUGAAGAGACUG
Diabrotica virgifera virgifera (western corn rootworm) is the source of this 134-nucleotide long non-coding RNA. RefSeq lists it as uncharacterized. The record is from RefSeq and is a predicted model, not a curated record. The transcript has 2 exons. Lineage: Eukaryota; Metazoa; Arthropoda; Insecta; Coleoptera; Chrysomelidae.